Molecule: non-coding RNA, 1316 nt
Organism: Rattus norvegicus (Norway rat)
Lineage: Eukaryota; Metazoa; Chordata; Mammalia; Rodentia; Muridae
Source: RefSeq, a predicted model, not a curated record
AAUAAGACUUUAGUUUAGAGAUGAAGAAAUUGGCGAUAAAUUUUCUGCAUCAAAAGACACUCCAAGAAUUAUUGCCCCAAAGGGAGCUUCGCGAAAUUUUUCACGAAACUCUCAGGCCACAGGGAACCUAGCCAGUAGGGUAGAUUGAAGUUGAAGGUGUGGAUUUGGCUACCAAUUCCCUUCUAUGUGUCAUCACACAGCUUCAUUCUUGAUCUUACUAAAAUUUACUUCAGUAUUCAUCAGAAAACAAAUGCUAUCAAGGAGAUGAUUUCUGGAGCUCUUGGGACAGAGGAACGUGAUGUCAAUGGGAUACUUGCAAACACCAACUGAUCUAGUCACACGAAUUUUGGUCACAUUCUGAGUUUCAUCACAUGGCAAUCACUGAGUGCUAACGCUCAGGGAUUCAUGGCCAAAAUACCUGUUGCUUUCCUCUGGGCAACAGAUUCUCUUCAGCAUUCACAUACCAGCUGUGGGAACUGAUUGUUACCAUGCAGUAUGGAAAUGGGGAGGAAUGAACAUAGCCUAGCACAUAAAAUCUGAAAUGCACAAGUCUCAUGAAAAUUUGAUUAAAGUAUACGUAACUGUUCGUGUAUUGUCCUUCCAAUAUUACUCAGGUAAAUUCACCUUUGCCUUGGUUUCUGACAAUGUUUAGCAAUUGAAAGAUUUGAUCGGUGUAUAUGACAAAGAGCAUGUGUCAUCCCCUUCAUCAAUGAUUUGGUUUUGGGUACCUAUUGACCUAUUGAUCGCUUAGGGAAGUAACUUUCCAUGUGUUGGGAAUGUCAGCAUGGAAGUGGAUGUUGCAAGAGUGAUUCUGCUAAGUGGCAUCAUACAUUAGACUUCUUAAACAGCCUCCUUAAAAUUAAUAUGAUUGUAUGAACUGAAGGGAUACAAUUCCCCUCACAUCUUGCUCUUUCCCUUUUAGAGAGGACAGUCUUGAAAUUCAAGCUAGGUCUACCCUUAUUCCACACAAGAGCGCUGUGCCCUUGUACCCUCUGCACUUGCAAGUGAGGAUUCAAAUUCUGAGGCAGUGUUGGCAGCCAAGUCACCUGGCAUCACUCCUGCGGUCCAGUGGAUCACUAUUCCCAGAGGACAGUCUUCAAAUUCAAGCUAGGUCUACCCUUAUUCCACACAAGAGCGCUGUGCCCUUGUACCCUCUGCACUUGCAAGUGAGGAUUCAAAUUCUGAGGCAGUGUUGGCAGCCAAGGUAAGCCAUGGUGCAGGUGAAAUUACAUUAUUGACAGUUGUGUCCUACCUGUGUCUGGGUCAAUGAUGACAACAGAAAGUCAAGAACAGAAUGAUGACAUAAAAAUCAUGCU